GAUGAGCCCGCGUUAGGGAUUGCAAUGAAAAUCCUUUUGUGAGGAACUAGCAAAAGAUUGUAAUGAAAAGCCCGACCCUUG
This 81-nucleotide small RNA is filed under the name Algibacter luteus. RNAcentral's name for it is "Arenitalea lutea Flavo-1 RNA". It matches the Rfam family "Flavo-1 RNA". Lineage: Bacteria; Pseudomonadati; Bacteroidota; Flavobacteriia; Flavobacteriales; Flavobacteriaceae. The record is from Rfam by way of RNAcentral.